Molecule: ribosomal RNA, 455 nt
Filed under: uncultured archaeon
Lineage: Archaea
Description: bacterial SSU rRNA
Rfam family: Archaeal small subunit ribosomal RNA
Source: RNAcentral
UAGUCGAGCGAGGUUAGCCCUCGCGGCGAACAGCUCAGUAACACGUGGCCAAGCUACCCUGCAGAGGGGGACAGGGUUGGGAAACUGACGGGAAUCCCCCAUACCGGUCUCACGCUGGAAUGCCGAGACCGACAAACGCUCCGGCGCUGCAGGAUGCGGCUGCGGCCGAUUAGGUAGUCGGUGGGGUAACGGCCCACCGAGCCGAUAAUUGGUACGGGGUGUGAGAGCACGAGCCCGGAGACGGAAUCUGAGACAAGAUUCCGGGCCCUACGGGGCGCAGCAGGCGCGAAACCUUUACACUGCACGCACGUGCGAUAAGGGGACUCCGAGUGCGAGGGCAUACAGUCCUCGCUAUUGUGUACCGUAGGGUGGUACACGACCAAGAGCUGGGCAAGACCGGUGCCAGCCGCCGCGGUAAUACCGGCGGCUCGAGUGAUGGCCGAUUUUAUUGGGCC